CUCAGUUAUGCCACAGGGAAGCAACCAGCAUAGAGGUGAAGACAACAUUCUGGCACAGCUUUUCAUCAACAUCUCAGGGUACAAACAAGGUGAAUAGUUUAGUGGAAAUUACAAACGAAAAUCAAAGGUCUAAGUUGCUCUGCUGUUAAACCUAGGGCAGCUGGUAGCAAUUCUAUUCAACAUGAACACUGAACAGGAACAGGCAGAUGUGAAGGAGUGUGAGCUGUUCUGGCCACGCUGACACACCUUUGGAAUGUUCCAUUUCCCAUAAGUCAGAAGAAGCCAGUAAGAGAAUAGGAGCUGACCUGACUGUGUCCAAAGAAAAAUCUUCAAUCCAGCUCUUUUCUUCUGGCAGUAAAAUAGGAACGAAAUGUUGCACAAUUUGAUGCUUAAUUAUCUUUGGCAGUACUUGAGAACAAUUCCCUGUUAAGUAACAAAUACGGGUGUGAUUAAGCCUGUUUUGAAGUUAGAUAAAAAUAAAUCGCUCUUCUGCUUUUUGCCUGCGCAUAAACCUGGGAAGUCC
Molecule: long non-coding RNA, 523 nt
Organism: Gallus gallus (chicken)
Lineage: Eukaryota; Metazoa; Chordata; Aves; Galliformes; Phasianidae
Source: Ensembl